UUUCGGCCAUACCACGUUGAAACACUGGUUCACUUACGAUCAACUAAGUUAAGCAACGUAGUCUGAUCAGAACUUAGAUGGGUGAUCGCUUGGGAAUACAAGAUGCUGUAA
Molecule: non-coding RNA, 111 nt
Organism: Acanthosepion pharaonis
Lineage: Eukaryota; Metazoa; Mollusca; Cephalopoda; Sepiida; Sepiidae
Source: the annotation of a GenBank genome assembly